This 100-nucleotide signal recognition particle RNA is filed under the name Bacillota bacterium. Its description in RNAcentral is "signal recognition particle sRNA small type". It matches the Rfam family "Bacterial small signal recognition particle RNA". Rfam says of the family: The signal recognition particle (SRP) is a universally conserved ribonucleoprotein involved in the co-translational targeting of proteins to membranes. Archaeal SRP consists of a 7S RNA and homologues of the eukaryotic SRP19 and SRP54 proteins. Lineage: Bacteria; Bacillati; Bacillota. The record is from RNAcentral.
GGCCGGGCCCUGCGCAAUAGGAAUCUGUGAACCUGGUCAGGUCCGGAAGGAAGCAGCCAUAAGCGGAACCUCCUAUGUGCCGCAGGUAAGUCUGGCCGGU